AUUGUUCUCUUUUGUUUUGUUUUGCUUUUUUUACCAAAGAGGGGGACGAGGUAAAGUUGUCCGAAUAGUUACUAAGUAAUGUUACUGCUUAGCCCUAGGUCGGCCUUAAUUGAGCAGACUUAACGAUCAAAGGCACUGAAACAAUGACCAUCACAUUCUUCAUUUCCACGAGAAUGUACUCCGUUUUCGGUUCUUUUCUUCUUUUCUUUUCUCAUUUGAGACGGCGUGAUCUGAUUGACGAGAGAUUUUGGCUGUUAUUUCCAGGACGGUCGAAUGCCUAUGUUAGUGCCUGCCUCACUUUUUGGCUCGAAAUGAAGAAUGUUUUUUAUCUUGGUGAUGAUAAUGGUGAGUAGUGGAUAAGGUGAGAGUGGCUGGUGGUAGCUUUUGUUGUGCCACCUUGGUGGUAUUUGUGUCGGUGUUUCUUGUGGAAUUCAGUAGCGGCCGUAGCGUUUUGGUGGUGGUGGUGGUGGUGGUUGGUAGUAGUAGUAGUAGUAGUAGUAGUAGUAAGUUCCGGUUCGUGUUAGUAGUGUUUGAAGUUGUGGUGGUAGUAAUAGGUCUUGUUUAUAAGUUAUGCGAUCGUGGUGCUGGUGCUGGUAGUGUUGGUAGUUAAGCUAUGGUUGUGGUUGAAGUAGCAUCGGUGAAGGCUGUUUGCUGUGUUGCCUAUAGUGUUGUUGUUGUUGAUGUUGUUGUUGUUGAUGGUGGUGGUGGUGGUGGAGGUGGUGACGGCGCUGUUGGUUGUUUUGUUUGGAAACUGAUCAAGGAUGAGAACUCACCACGUGAGAGAAAGAGAGAGAUUCUCGCAACAACGGCGAUAUUACGCAAUACAAGACACGCAAACAGUGUAAAGCACGCUUCCUCACUCUGGAUAUGCCAAGGUACGUACCAUCCUCGAAAACAGGAAGGUAAACAAAAAUACAUUCCGACCAACGACGAUGUUGUGUUUAAACGGUCCGUCGACCUGCUAGAAAAUGCAGCCAAAUUCCAAUCACCUUGCACUCAGCAACCUUCGAACGGAAAGAAUCAUUGGAUAAUAAAAUUCCUGGAUGGACUGCUUCAAUUAUCAGACUGGAUUAUCACAGAUGGAACGCUUUUUGAUCAUCAGACUUCUCAGUUAAGUCUGACUCGGUGCUAAGCAAUAAUAACAAAUUAAAACAUUUUUGAUGUGAUAUAGUAGUUAAUUUCUCGUUCAAUCAAGAUCAUUAUUAAUAUAUCACAAGUUUUUUAAAAAAUGUUAAAAAAAAAACAAAAAACGAGGAAAACAGCAAAAACAGAAACAUCAUCAUCAACUACCAGAAUGAAAAUUUUGAUUGAUCGAUCGAUCUUUUAAAUCAAUCGAUGAGUUAAUCAUUUAAUCAAUCAAUAAACUGUACUCCAGCCGUUAAGCAGAUUCUCCUAUACAAUGCGCGUGUUGUGUGUGUGCUUGCAUAUAAAGAUGAUUUAAACAGAAAGUAUGUGAUCCCAAACAAUGUAUAUAUGCAUGAUGAGGAGGAAGAGGAAGGAAGGAAGGAAGGAAGGGAGGAAACAUUUACUCCCACAUCAGGCCCUGAUCGGUGAUGCCAAAACUAAGACGCUCUAGUCACGACCAUCCUGUCUUCUGAGGUGUCCUUGCCUCUUUAUUUUUGACGGCACUGUGUAGUUUGAAGAAGAAUUAGCUACUGUUUCUAGUAGGUCGAGCAACUAUGUAAGAGGCUCGAGUUGUGAUCGAUGAUAGUGAUGAUGAUGAUGAUGAUGAUGAUGAAUUUGGAAGAAAAAUAUCAUAACAGCGAGUCAUAUAUCCAGUCAAUAUGUAAAUGACAGAGAUUUCGCUUUAGAGUCCCUGGAGGGAUGAUUCAAAUAGACUAACUCCUGUGAUAUUUGAAAUAAGAAUAAGAAGGUAAACAGAUGGAACUAAAGAUAUUCUAACGAUUUUGGUCAAGCUGAAAUUCAACUGGGUUGCCAACAACCCCUUUCUGAUAAUAGCGGAUAGUCAAAUACUCACACACACACACAUAUAAAUGGACAGUCACUUGACAAGAGAAGUAACUAAAUAAUAAUAAUAAUAAUAAUAAUAAUAAUAAUGAUAGUCUCUUAUUUAGGCACAAGGCCCACAAUUUUGAGGGGAGAGAGUUGGUCAAUUACAGCGACCUCAGUACUUAACUGGUACAUCAUUAUCAUCGAUCCUGAAAGGAUGGAAAUCAAAGCUGACCUCGACGGGAUUUGAACUCAGAACAAAUGAUGUCAAAGAAUCAGUAUGACUGGUGAUGCUAAUGGUCGCAAAAUGUUAAAGACAAAUGAAUCGACCUUCAUUAUUGCAGACAGUUAUCUAUUAAUUGAAUGCAGACCAAAAAUUGGAAUGAAAAAAAAUAUUUCCGAAAAAAAAAGAAAGAAAGCUGAUUCCCAGUGUAACUCGAACUUAAACAAGAAAUUCAGAACCGUAUGAUGUAAAUAUGAUUUAAAAAAAAAAGAAAAGAAAAAAGAAAAAAAAGAAGCGUUCAUUUUGCUUCUUUUUCGAAGAAUGAUAUAUCAAUGGAUUUCUUACAUUGGCACAGUACCAGGGAUUUGUAUAAACGAUGGUACUAGCGAUCUGCAAUUCUUUAUACCUGGACCGCUAACCACAACAAGGAUUUCUUAUAGAAAAGCACAAGUCCAAAUGUUUGUAGGAGGUUGCAGUCGAUCAUAUCGGCUGCUGCCUUAUUACAAUCGACCCUGGAGGGAUUUAAAAAA
This 2703-nucleotide long non-coding RNA is filed under the name Octopus sinensis (East Asian common octopus). Its description in RNAcentral is "uncharacterized LOC118760874". Lineage: Eukaryota; Metazoa; Mollusca; Cephalopoda; Octopoda; Octopodidae. The record is from RNAcentral.